This 161-nucleotide ribosomal RNA is filed under the name uncultured bacterium. RNAcentral's name for it is "partial 16S ribosomal RNA". The record is from RNAcentral.
GCACGGAGUUAGCCGGUGCUUCUUCUGCGAGUAACGUCACAGUUGCUGGGUAUUAGCCAACAACCUUUCCUCCUCGCUGAAAGUGCUUUACAACCCGAAGGCCUUCUUCACACACGCGGCAUGGCUGCAUCAGGGUUGCCCCCAUUGUCCAAUAUUCCUCA